AUGUUUAGAAAAAGUCAUCAACAAUAUUUUCAACAAGAAGCUUUUGGUUCUGCUGUGUCUAUAACAGAUUCUUCAUCGAUCUUCAAUAAUCAUUACACUCUCAAGGUUAUUGUAACCUUCUUGCAUAUAUUCAUCUAUAAUCAUCAUCAAAUCCUCUUUACAACCACGUUUCACUGCAUAAAUUAUUGA
Non-coding RNA from Vicia faba (fava bean), 189 nucleotides. The record is from the annotation of a GenBank genome assembly. NCBI's taxonomy places the organism in Eukaryota, Viridiplantae, Streptophyta, Magnoliopsida, Fabales, Fabaceae.